GUGAAGCGGCAAUAGCUCAAAUUUGAAAUCUGGCGUCUUCGGCGUCCGAGUUGUAAUUUGUAGAGGAUGCUAUUGAGUUGUCACCGGUCUAAGUUCCUUGGAACAGGACGUCACAGAGGGUGAGAAUCCCGUAUGUGACCGGCCAGACGCUCUCUGUAUAGCUCCUUCGACGAGUCGGGUUGUUUGGGAAUGCAGCCCUAAAUGGGAGGUAAAUUUCUUCUAAAGCUAAAUACCGGCCAGAGACCGAUAGCGCACAAGUAGAGUGAUCGAAAGAUGAAAAGCACUUUGGAAAGAGAGUUAAAAAGCACGUGAAAUUGUUGAAAGGGAAGCGCUUGCAAUCAGUCUCGACGGCGGCUGUUCGGCCUCUCUUCUGAGUGGUUUAUUCAGUCGCCGCCGGGCCAGCAUCAGUUCUGGCGGUCGGAUAAAGGCGCGGGGAAUGUAGCUCCUCUCGGGGAGUGUUAUAGCCCUGCGUGCAAUACGGCCUGCCGGGACUGAGGUCCGCGCUUCGGCUAGGAUGCUGGCGAAAUGGUUGUAAGCGGCCCGUCUUGAAACACGGACCAAGGAGUCUAACAUCUAUGCGAGUGUUUGGGUGUCAAACCCGUACGCGUAAUGAAAGUGAACGGAGGUGGGAACCGCAAGGUGCACCAUCGACCGAUCCUGAUGUCUUCGGAUGGAUUUGAGUAAGAGCAUAGCUGUUGGGACCCGAAAGAUGGUGAACUAUGCCUGAAUAGGGUGAAGCCAGAGGAAACUCUGGUGGAGGCUCGCAGCGGUUCUGACGUGCAAAUCGAUCGUCAAAUUGG
This 800-nucleotide ribosomal RNA is filed under the name Elsinoe veronicae. Its description in RNAcentral is "partial large subunit ribosomal RNA". It matches the Rfam family "Eukaryotic large subunit ribosomal RNA", at positions 93 to 913 of the family's 3401-position model. The record is from RNAcentral. Lineage: Eukaryota; Fungi; Ascomycota; Dothideomycetes; Myriangiales; Elsinoaceae.